Oncorhynchus tshawytscha (Chinook salmon) is the source of this 1187-nucleotide long non-coding RNA. Lineage: Eukaryota; Metazoa; Chordata; Actinopteri; Salmoniformes; Salmonidae. The record is from Ensembl.
ACUGCAUUCAAUCGUCCGGGUGGUGUGCUGGGGGACGUCCUACGGUUUGGAGUGUGCUUGGAGAGAGAGGGAGAAGAAACCCUGCCUAGCAGGGCACUUUAUAGCGUCGCCUCAGUUCUUGCACAACGCGACCAUUGCAAGUGAGCGAGCGGAUUUUAGUCUAUAAUUAUACGGGCUGGAAACGGAUUUUCAUACGUCGUCAUGCUGUACAGCUUUUACAUCUACGGUCGAUGACACCUGCGUUUUUGUCUUGAAGUUUCGCCGAUCGCGAACAGUUGGGACUGCAUUCCUUCGCUCUGGAGUCCAGACCUGCAGCGUUUUUCAGAGUUAGUGAGAGAGCUAGAGAGAGAGGGGGUCCCCGUUCCUACCUGCUGUCUUUUACGUGUAACUUCUGAACUAUUCUCCAGCCCAGUCAAACAUUCUUCUGGCUGGCUCUGCCCAGUGUUGUCGUUUAUCGGAAACAUCGGAUAAUCACUAAUGAUAUCUGAGAAUCGAUUAGUUUUGAACUAGAAAGAUUCUGCAUUUAAGUUCUGCCCCAUUGGAUUGAAUGCCUUGUAUGCGGUGACUAUGGCUUUACAAUGGAUCCUCGUAGCCGCUUUGGCUGGAAUUCUUCUCACCGCCACUUCAGAAAUACAUGGAGCAUGUCUCUAUCAGGGAUCUCUGUUCGCGGUAAGUGCACCUUUCAUCGUUCCUUCCUACCUUUUUCUUCCCGCUGUCACAUCUAUUUACACAACUACUGUUCACUGAGUGGACAAAACAUUAGGAACACCUGCUCUUUCCAUGACAUACACUGACCAGGUGAAUCCAGGUGAAAGCUAUGAUCCCUUAUUGAGGUCACUUGUUAAAUCCACUUCAAUCAGUGUAGAUAAAGGGGAGGACACGGGUUAAAGAAGGAUCUUUAUGCCUUGAGACAAAUGAGACAUAGAUUAUGUGUGUCAUUCAGAGAAUGAGCAAGACAGAACAAACAAAUGCCUUUGAACGGGGUAUGGUAGUAGGUGCCAGGUGCAUCUGUUUGUGUCAAGAACUGCAACGCUGCUGGGUUUUUCACCCUCAACAGUUUCCUGUGUGUAUCAAGAAUGGUCCACCACCCCAAAAGAACAUCCAGCCAACUUGACACAACCGUGGGAAGCAAUUGGAGUCAACAUGGUCCAGCAACCCUGUGGAAUGCUUUUCGACAUCUUUUAGAG